Long non-coding RNA from Esox lucius (northern pike), 3015 nucleotides. NCBI's taxonomy places the organism in Eukaryota, Metazoa, Chordata, Actinopteri, Esociformes, Esocidae. The record is from Ensembl.
CUUGUGAACUCGUUUGACGUGGCCCAAGUACGGUUCCAAUCCAAAGAACGCAAGUUACCAAGAACGCCUAAAAUGCCCGGAUGUGUACUUGAUCCGCCAAUAUUAUCGAGGAUGCAUAGGUUGGUGACUUGUUCAGCGAGAACGCAUCUGAUAUCCAAGAAGUAAUUUCAAGAUUUCAGGAGAGAAGGUAAAACUCCACAACUGUAGCACUCUACCAUGGCCAAAACAAACCCGCAAAUGACCGCAUCCUGGUAAAGCAUUUACCGUAAUGGCUGAUACCUGCUGAUUCGCCAAGUUCUUCUGAACACAGUAAAAAAAAAAUUGUGGGGCUACCACAAACACAAUGGAUGUGGGGACUACAAACAUAACAAGAAUGAGGCGACUCAGAGUAAGGUGACCACAUCCAAGGAAUAGGGUUUGCUAUGUAGGGAAUAUUGUUAACUAUGUAGCUGGGUUCGCUGUGUAGGGAGUAGGAUGCCAUUUGGAAGAAACACACUAAUAGAAUCAACUCCCCCACAGAGGUUUAUUUCACAUCACUUGGCCUCUUUAAUGUGAUUUGCAUGGGUCUGCUGUCUGCUUGAGGCUCCACUGUCCACCACAAAUGCUUUGCUUAUUAUUAAAGGGUAAAUUCACUAUUUUACAAGUUGGUGCUUCAUCGCCUGAACAUAUUACAGUAUGGGCCUAGAUAAACUGUAAUCCAUGGUUUGGUUUUCUUUAAACAGCCAUUAGAAACUUCAGAUACCCUUUGCCACAACAAUCUUAAUAUAUUUUUUGUGACAGUCAAAUAAAAUUAUGCAUAAUCAAAGUGAGUAAGAGUCUGCUCAGAAUGUUCACCACAGUGUAAAAAGUCUGUUAGGCUGGCCGGAAUGUUUACCACAGUGUAAAAAGUAUUUGUGAGGCUGGCCAGAAUGUUUACCACAAUGUAAAAAGUCUGUGUGAGGCUGGCCAGAAUGUUUACCACAAUGUAAAAAGUCUGUUUGAGGCUGACCAGAAUGUUUACCACAGUGUAAAAAGUAUUUGUGAGGCUGGCCAGAAUGUUUACCACAAUGUAAAAAGUCUGUGUGAGGCUGACCAGAAUGUUUACCACAGUGUAAAAAGUAUUUGUGAGGCUGGCCAGAAUGUUUACCACUGUGUAAAAAGUAUGUGUGAGGCUGGCCAGAAUGUUUACCACAAUGUAAAAAGUAUGUGUGAGCCUGGCCAGAAUGUUUACCACUGUGUAAAAAGUAUGUGUGAGCCUGGCCAGAAUGUUUACCACAUAAUGUAUAGGCUCUGUGUGAGGCUGGUUUCCUGGUUUCUAACCCCAGCAGGACUAAUGGGAUCAGCAACACUGUGCUCUAUUGACUGGCUUAACUCUGUCUUAAUCCAUCCUCCGUGUUCAGCCGCUCUGGUCCUACUCCCUCCCUCUUUACCUCCCUCUCUCUCCCCCUCUCCCUCUUUUUCUCCAACUCUCCCAAUCCCCCUCCAUCCCUCCAUGUCCGUCUCUCUUCCUCUCUCCCUGGGCUCCUGCCUCUCUGUCCCCCCCUCAGCCUCCCGCUCUCAUUCUUAAACACACAAACUCGUUACGCUAGCUUCUCACACAUUUGGUUACCUGGAAUCACCACAUCCCCCUACAAACGCAACUAAUUUUCCCUAGGCCUGUCCGACAUGUGGUCCACAACUCCUCACACAAGGGACCAGGGUGGUUUGUAAGAUCCCCCCCAACCGCCCCGUACCCACCCUUACCCACCUUCCCCUAACCCAAGAAACCAGACCACCUUCCCCCCUGCCUGCUGUACUCUCUCCUGACCCUCCAAGGCUUGGGCACAACGCUGGUCCUCAGAGUGAGCAAAUGGUCUGGAUCUCAAUGCAGAGACUUUGCCCCAUAACCUGCUCUGCAACUCGCCCGGCUGACGGAUGGUGUGUCUAUUCAACCACGGAUCCACAGUUUAACCCAGCGCGGACCAUCUGUACAUCAUCAUUCAUUCAUAAAUUCUCCCUCAAUCCCACACUGUCUUUCACUUCUCAACUGUGGCAGCAGUUUAUCUUCCCUUCACCAUGCAUAACGUCAGCUCUUCACAGUUGUCCUCGGUGGCCCGGUGGACUUCACAAAGGGGGCUGGCUGCGUUGUUGGAUUAUCACACAAGCCUGCAGCCGCUCCAUCUCGCAAUUUCCAAAUGUUGCUUUUGUUCUGAGUGAAUAGAGAGGUUGAGAGGAGGCAGACAUCAGAGAGUCCCACAGUGCAUCAGCAUUAACACAGACAGUCUUCUACGGGGCUGCUCCAUGCCAAGGUGGUGUCGUGUUUGGGUGUGUGCACAUACGUACGUGCGUGUGUGUGCUUGGGCCUGUGUGUAGGAGUGCAAAUGUACAUGCGUGUCUGUUUGGCUGAUACAUCUCUCACCUCUGUGCAUAAAUGGACUGCUUGGUUACAGUGUCUGUGGCGGCUGUGAAAGAAUAACUGGAGCCUACAAAUCAAUAUGACUGAUUUAUUUAUGGUUGUAUUGACCAUUUAUCCAUUAGAGGUGAUGGAGAGCGAAAGAGGGAGAGGAAGAUCAACCUGAAUAAGACUGACUCCAUGCUGUUGCUCAUAAUAUUUUGUUUUAUUGGGAGAAUGCAUUUCAAAACACAAAUUAAUCUUAAAUUAAAAGUUAGCCUUCAUAAAAUUGUACAAUCAAGUAUAUCAAUUGAAAGUGCAAAUUCAGGAAUCUGCUCAGUGUUGGACUGCAGAUAAUAAUAAUGAUAUUAUAAUAUUUUGGAGACAGCAUUAUUCUGUCUUGUAUUAACUUUAUGUAUUAGUGGUCCUGAAUAAAACCCUAAUUCUUGAGAAUAAAUUGUCGCACUCUGAAACUGAUCCAUAUAGGACCAAUCAAUAGUGAGGAAACAACAAUCAGUACAGGAAGGGAAUCCAAUCUGUAAGUGGCUUACAUGUUAAGGGUCAUGGUCGGCAAAUUAGCGUGCUGAUGGGUCAGUGGGAAAGGUCGUGGCCUACAGGAAGAAUGGUCAUGGUUCAGUUUCUGCAGGCAUAGAAACACAAGGUCA